Long non-coding RNA from Carassius gibelio (silver crucian carp), 1791 nucleotides. RefSeq lists it as uncharacterized. The transcript has 2 exons. The record is from RefSeq and is a predicted model, not a curated record. NCBI's taxonomy places the organism in Eukaryota, Metazoa, Chordata, Actinopteri, Cypriniformes, Cyprinidae.
AGUUAGGGACAGCGGUUGGUGAUUGGAGGAUACGCUGGACAAGGCAGUACUUAAGGCCAAGUUAUUUCACAGUCUGGGAGCUGUUUCUGGUGUGUGUGAAGCACUGUGUCGUGCCUGUCUUGGUGCGCUGCUGGUCUCUCUCUCUCUCUCUCUCUCUCUCUCUCUCUCUCUCUCUCUCUCUCUCUCUCUCUCUCUCUCUCUCUCUCUCUCUCUCUCUCUCUCUCUCUCUCUCUCUCUCUCUCUCUCUCUCUCUCUCUCUCUCUCUCUCUCUCUCUCUCGAAUUGUAUGAUUGUGAAGACAUCGCGAACCUUAAAGGUUGAGAAGUGAACGGAUUAUACGGUGAAUUGAGACGACGUGAAAAAGGGGAUUGGAAGCGGCAUUGAUGUGAAUACUUAGAGCAAGCCGAAAGUGCCCUGUAUAUUGACCUGGCGUUGUGUAGAUCUCCCCAGGAGGAGGAGGGCGGCCCUACCCCUAAUAUAGCGUGGUGGGAGAGCCGAAGGAAUACGUAUUGAAGUAGUCACAACGACGACAUCACUAGCUAGGCCGCAUAUUCCAUCGCCAGAUCCGAACCAAGCGAAGUGAAGGAAGACGGGUGUCCUUUUCGUACACUGAGUGUGGUGGGUGAGUCUUCGUGCUGUGAAAACCUAAAAUUUUGACGUGGUGCUGUAUAUUGCUGUGGGUUGCUGUGUAUUGCCGUGUGUCCUGUCAGAUAAACCCCCGCCUUCACGCACUCUGUCGCGGGAGGACAAGGAGACUGCUGGUUCUAGCCUAGUUCAAUACAGUAUAUGUUGUGAGCGUGCUUCAGAUCUCCGGAGAUAGCACGGUACGCUGUGUUCAGCCCAGAGGUGGGAGCUAUUCAAAGCAAACUAACUGUGCUUUGUGUCCAAUCUGAUACCUGUGGAGAGAAAAGGAAAGAGAGUGAAUAACACGAGGAGGAAUAGAGCGAACCCUGUACUUACGGUACGUUGUGUCCAGCCCAGAGGUGAAAGCCAUCCAAAGCAGAGUAACUGUGUUUUGUGUCCAAGUUGAUACCUGUAGAGAGGAGGAGAGAGAGUGGAUAACGUGAGGAGAAAUAGAGCGAAACCUGUACUUACAGUACGCUGUGUCCAGCCCAGAGGUGAGAGCCAUUCAAAGCAAACUAACUGUGCUAUUGUGACCAAGUUGAUACCUGUGGAGAGAAAAGGAGAGAGCGUGAAUAACACGAGGAGGAAUAGAGCGAACCCUGUACUUACGGUACGUUGUGUCCAGCCCAGAGGUGAGAGCCAUUCAAAGCAAACUAACUGUGCUAUAGUGCCCAAGUUGAUACCUGUGGAGAGAAAAGGAGAGAGAGUGGGUAACACGAGGAGAGACCGAGGAAACUGUACUUACGCCGCUGCCUGUGGAGAAAGCGAGUGAGCACCCAAGGAACGAACUGUGUGAACCAGUACUUACUGUGAGCUGCAAUCAGCGAAGAGGUGAGAGCAAAACCAAGUCGAAUUAACUGUGCCUUUGCGUCCCAGCCGUUGCCUGUGGAGGAAGAGAAAGAGAGUGAGCACCCCGAGAACGAACUGUGUGAACCAGUACUUACCGUGAGUUGUAUUCAGCGAAGAGGAGGAAGAAGGAGGGCGCUACGGAUACCUAAGACUCUGGCCGGGCCCCGAGUCCCACGCCCCGGAUCCCCGUGGCCCCCUUGCUCCCUGACCUCUUCCCGGCCAUAGCCCAUCUGGAGGGCCGAGUCGGAGUUUAGUUUUAAUUGCCCUUUCCCUAUUCCCCAAGCUAUUUUUAAAUAUUUAAAUAAAGAUUGUUUUAUCA